UGCGCAGCAGGUACGAAACCUCCUCAAUGCAUUCACGUGUGAAGGGGUUACCUCUGAGUGCCACUCUGAUGAGGGUGGCUUUUCCCAGGUCUAAAAAGCCUGGGGUAAUAAGAGGGGGGCAAGACUGGUGUCAGCCGCCGCGGUAACACCAGCCCCUCGAUGUGGUGGGGACGUUUAUUUGGCCUCAAGCGUCCGUAGCCGGCCGGGUAUAGUCUCCCGUUAAAUCCAGCGUCUCAAGCGUUGGGCUGCGGGAGAUACUGUCCGGCUAGAGAGUGGGAGAGGUCAGCGGUAUUCCUGGGGUAGGGGCGAAAUCCUUUGAUCCCAGGAGGACCACCAGUGGCGAAGGCUGCUGACUAGAACACGUCUGACGGUCAGGGACGAAAGCUGGGGUAGCGAACCGGAUUAGAUACCCGGGUAGUCCCAGCCGUAAACGAUGCAUGCUAGGUGUUGGGUUGGCCACGAGCCACCCCAGUGCCGCAGGGAAGCCGUUAAGCAUGCCGCCUGGGGAGCACCACCAAGGCGUGCAAGCCUGCAGGUAUUUAUUGGAGUCUAACAGCUGGGGCCACCUUACCGGGAGUGACAGCAGAGUGCAAGGCCCAGAUUGCAGAUCUUGCCCACAUCGAUGAUUGAGUAGGAGGUGCAUGGCCGUCGCCAGUUCGUCGCCUGUGAGGUGUUCUACUUAAGUGAGACACACGUACACGAGACCCGCGCCACAUGUUGCCAUACAGACACCUAAAGGGUCUGCUGGGCACUCUUGCUGGGACCGCAGCCGAUUAGUGCUGAGGAAGGGGUCGGGCAACGGCAGGUCAGUAUGCCCCGAAUCUCCCGGGCCACACGCGGGCUGCAAUGGUAGGGACAGAGGGCUGCAACCCCGAGAGGGGAAGCCAAUCCCUAAACCCUACCUCAGUUGGGAUCGAGGGCUGCAACCCGCCCUCGUGAACAUGGAAUGCCUAGUAACCGCGCGUCAUCAUCGCGCGGUGAAUACGUCCCUGCUCCUUGCACACACUGCCCGUCGUAACCACCCGAGUGAGGUUUGGAUGAGGCAUGGUCGAAAGUUGGCCGUGUCGAAUCUGGG
RNAcentral lists this ribosomal RNA (1075 nucleotides) under uncultured archaeon. Its description in RNAcentral is "partial 16S ribosomal RNA". It matches the Rfam family "Archaeal small subunit ribosomal RNA", at positions 329 to 1413 of the family's 1478-position model. The record is from RNAcentral.